This 268-nucleotide unclassified non-coding RNA is filed under the name Hevea brasiliensis (rubber tree). Lineage: Eukaryota; Viridiplantae; Streptophyta; Magnoliopsida; Malpighiales; Euphorbiaceae. The record is from RNAcentral.
UGUAUGCACAUGCUAUUAAAAAAAGUAACACACAAAGAAAAACCUUACAAAAAUUUAUCCGACUCUAGCCCUCCGUUUCUUGAUCAAGCCCUGGACUUGAAGAAAAGACAUCAUUAGAAUUACUUGAAGGUUGAUUUGAAUCCUCACUUCUCCUAUUACUAUUGAAAGAAAAACUAACCCAAAUUUCUCUUUCCAAUCUUCUCCUCUCUCUACCUUCUUCUUCCUCCUCCCUUUUCUUGCCUAAAUCCACCUCAUCAACAGGCAUCUU